RNAcentral lists this unclassified non-coding RNA (395 nucleotides) under soil metagenome. Its description in RNAcentral is "partial contains 5.8S ribosomal RNA, internal transcribed spacer 2, and large subunit ribosomal RNA". The stretch from base 1 to 122 matches the Rfam family "5.8S ribosomal RNA", at positions 35 to 154 of the family's 154-position model. The record is from RNAcentral.
GAUGAAGAACGCAGUAAAAUGCGAUACUUGGUGUGAAUUGCAGAAUCCCGUGAACCAUCGAGUCUUUGAACGCAAGUUGCGCCCGAAGCCAUCAGGUUGAGGGCACGUCUGCCUGGGCGUCACAUAUCGUUGCCCAAUGCCUAUUGCAGUGCAAUAGGAAUUUCUAGGGCGAAUGAUGGCUUCCCGUGAGCGUUGUUGCCUCGCGGUUGGUUGAAAAUCGAGUCCUUGGUAGGGUGUGCCAUGGUAGAUGGUGGUCGAGUUAGAACGAUACCGAUCAUGUGCAUGCUCCCCAAAAUAUGGCCUCUAUGACCCACACGCGUCUUUUGACGCUCAUGACGAGACCUCAGGUCAGGCGGGGCUACCCGCUGAAUUUAAGCAUAUCAAUAAGCGGAGGA